Molecule: unclassified non-coding RNA, 517 nt
Filed under: Hevea brasiliensis (rubber tree)
Lineage: Eukaryota; Viridiplantae; Streptophyta; Magnoliopsida; Malpighiales; Euphorbiaceae
Source: RNAcentral
AUAAAAGCAAAGAUUUGAUAGCAUCAAACUAAGCAUGAAAAAAAAAAUGAAAAACUCAAGAUAAGAUACGCUGUCUACUAGCAGAAAACAGGGGCCUCAUUCUUUCUUAAUGCCAUUGGGGAUUGGGCUGAGUUGUACUGCUGGAGAAUUGGGCUGCUCUUCCCGGGUAACCAUGCCAUCACCAAGCUUUUGGAAGUAAGGAUCAUUAGGACCAAGCUUUUCCUUAAACCAGUUUGGAAAGCUAAAGCAAGCAUUUCUCCACAGUUGUGCUAUGUUUCUUUUGGGAGCACAACAGACUGGAAGAACGGGAUGAUGUAUCCUGCCAAUAUGUGCCCUUAUAUUCCUUCUUUAAAUUGAUAAAUGGGUUACUUGCCUUACCUUGCCAAAUGAAUGGCAGCCCUUUUUUCACUCCUGGACGCAGAUGGUCACAGAUCAUCUGAAAUCCACCUCCAAUAAGCAUUAUAAAGGCUACAUCAGCAUCCUGGAGGUGCUAAGAAAGCUAAUUUGGCUGUAAAAA